GAUGAACGCUAGCAGAACGCCUAACACAUGCAAGUCGAACGAAUAUUAGUCUUCGGACUAAUGUUAGUGGCAAACGGGCGCGUAACACGUAUCUAACCUACCCUUGAGUGAGGCACAACUAUGGAGACAUAGCUAAUUCCUCAUACGCUCAUCAGAAUGAAAAUAUGAUGAGGAAAGAUUUAUCGCUCAAGGAGGGGGGUGCGGCCUAUCAGGUAGUUGGUGAGGUAAUGGCUCACCAAGCCUAUGACGGGUAGCCGGUCUGAGAGGAUGUCCGGCCGCAAUGGAACUGAGAACGGUCCAUACUCCUACGGGAGGCAGCAGUGGGGAAUAUUGGACAAUGGGCGAAAGCCUGAUCCAGCGAUUCUGCGUGAAGGAUGAAGCCUUAUGGGGUGUAAACUUCUUUUCUGGGGGAAGACGAAUGACGGUACCUCAGGAAUAAGAGACGGCUAACUACGUGCCAGCAGCCGCGGUAAAGUCUGUACU
RNAcentral lists this ribosomal RNA (483 nucleotides) under uncultured bacterium. RNAcentral describes it as "bacterial SSU rRNA". It matches the Rfam family "Bacterial small subunit ribosomal RNA", at positions 28 to 531 of the family's 1533-position model. The record is from RNAcentral.